GCGGGAAUAGCUCAGUUGGUAGAGCAUAACCUUGCCAAGGUUAGGGUCGCGAGUUCGAGUCUCGUUUCCCGCUCGA
This 76-nucleotide transfer RNA is filed under the name Bacteroidota bacterium. RNAcentral's name for it is "Bacteroidetes bacterium (hydrocarbon metagenome) tRNA-Gly". It matches the Rfam family "tRNA". Rfam says of the family: Transfer RNA (tRNA) molecules are approximately 80 nucleotides in length. Their secondary structure includes four short double-helical elements and three loops (D, anti-codon, and T loops). Lineage: Bacteria; Pseudomonadati; Bacteroidota. The record is from RNAcentral.